CAGGCUUAACACAUGCAAGUCGAGGGGCAUCAGGAAGAAUUCUUGCUUUCUUUGCUGGCGACCGGCGCACGGGUGAGUAACACGUAUCCAACCUGCCCUUUACUCGGGGAUAGCCUUUCGAAAGAAAGAUUAAUACCCGAUAGCAUAAUGAUUCCGCAUGGUUUCAUUAUUAAAGGAUUCCGGUAAAGGAUGGGGAUGCGUUCCAUUAGGUUGUUGGUGAGGUAACGGCCCACCAAGCCUUCGAUGGAUAGGGGUUCUGAGAGGAAGGUCCCCCACAUUGGAACUGAGACACGGUCCAAACUCCUACGGGAGGCAGCAGUGAGGAAUAUUGGUCAAUGGGCGCUAGCCUGAACCAGCCAAGUAGCGUGAAGGAUGAAGGCUCUAUGGGUCGUAAACUUCUUUUAUAUAAGAAUAAAGUGCAGUAUGUAUACUGUUUUGUAUGUAUUAUAUGAAUAAGGAUCGGCUAACUCCGUGCCAGCAGCCGCGGUAAUACGGAGGAUCCGAGCGUUAUCCGGAUUUAUUGGGUUUAAAGGGAGCGUAGGUGGACUGGUAAGUCAGUUGUGAAAGUUUGCGGCUCAACCGUAAAAUUGCAGUUGAUACUGUCAGUCUUGAGUACAGUAGAGGUGGGCGGAAUUCGUGGUGUAGCGGUGAAAUGCUUAGAUAUCACGAAGAACUCCGAUUGCGAAGGCAGCUCACUGGACUGCAACUGACACUGAUGCUCGAAAGUGUGGGUAUCAAACAGGAUUAGAUACCCUGGUAGUCCACACAGUAAACGAUGAAUACUCGCUGUUUGCGAUAUACAGUAAGCGGCCAAGCGAAAGCAUUAAGUAUUCCACCUGGGGAGUACGCCGGCAACGGUGAAACUCAAAGGAAUUGACGGGGGCCCGCACAAGCGGAGGAACAUGUGGUUUAAUUCGAUGAUACGCGAGGAACCUUACCCGGGCUUAAAUUGCAGUGGAAUGAUGUGGAAACAUGUCAGUGAGCAAUCACCGCUGUGAAGGUGCUGCAUGGUUGUCGUCAGCUCGUGCCGUGAGGUGUCGGCUUAAGUGCCAUAACGAGCGCAACCCUUAUCUUUAGUUACUAACAGGUUAUGCUGAGGACUCUAGAGAGGCUGCCGUCGUAAGAUGUGAGGAAGGUGGGGAUGACGUCAAAUCAGCACGGCCCUUACGUCCGGGGCUACACACGUGUUACAAUGGGGGGGUACAGAAGGCAGCUAGCGGGUGACCGUAUGCUAAUCCCAAAAUCCUCUCUCAGUUCGGAUCGAAGUCUGCAACCCGACUUCGUGAAGCUGGAUUCGCUAGUAAUCGCGCAUCAGCCACGGCGCGGUGAAUACGUUCCCGGGCCUUGUACACACCGCCCGUCAAGCCAUGGGAGCCGGGGGUACCUGAAGUACGUAACCGCAAGGAUCGUCCUAGGGUAAAACUGGUGACUGGGGC
This 1436-nucleotide ribosomal RNA is filed under the name uncultured organism. RNAcentral describes it as "16S ribosomal RNA". It matches the Rfam family "Bacterial small subunit ribosomal RNA". The record is from RNAcentral.